AGGUCAAGCGAACAAGGGCGCAGGGCGAAUGCCUUGGCACUGGGAGCCGAUGAAAGACGUGAUAAGCUGCGAUAAGCUUCGGGGAGCUGCAAAUAAGCAUUGAUCCGGAGAUCUCUGAAUGAGGAAACUCACCUGGGUUCAUACUCAGGUACGUUAUACUGAACUUCAAAAUAGGUAUAUCGAGGGAACCGCCUGAACUGAAACAUCUAAGUAGGGCGAGGAAAAGACAUCAAACGAGAUUCCGUAAGUAGUGGCGAGCGAACGCGGAAGAGGGCAAACCGGAAGUAGAAAUACUUCCGGGGUAUGGACUGCUUUUAGGACUUAAUCUGUUAACCGAACGGCAUGGGAAGGCCGGUCAGAGAGUGUGAGAACCACGUAGGUGAAAACGGAGAGAGCUGCGCAAGUUCCAGAGUACGGCCAGACACGUGAAACCUGGUCGGAAUACGGGGGGACCACCCUCCAACCCUAAAUACUACCCAGUGACCGAUAGCGUAUAGUACUGUGAAGGAAAGGUGAAAAGCACCCCGGGAGGGGAGUGAAAAAGAACCUGAAACCCUGUGCCUACAAGCACCUAGAGCACGUCAAUGUGUGAUAGGGUACUUUUUGUAGAACGGUCCGGCGAGCGAUUGUAUGCAGCAAGGUUAAGGACUUAAGGUCUGGAGCCGAAGCGAAAGCGAGUUUGAAAAGGGCGUUAAGUUGCAUACAAUGGGCCCGAAACCGGGUGACCUACCCAUGGUCAGGUUGAAGUGGAAGUAAAAUUCCAUGGAGGACCGAACCGACCUCCGUUGAAAAGGCGGCGGAUGAACUGUGGGUAGCGGAGAAAUUCCAAUCGAACCCGGAGAUAGCUGGUUCUCCCCGAAAUAGUUUUAGGACUAGCCUCAAGUUAGAUACCUGGAGGUAAAGCACUGAAUAGCCUAGCGGCCGAGAGGUUAGCGAAGCUUAUCAAACUCAGAAUGCCAGAGUAUUGAUGCUUGGGAGUCAGACAGUGUCAGAUAAAUGUCAUUGUCAAAAGGGAAACAGCCCAGAUCUACAGCUAAGGUCCCAAAGUCAGGUUAAGUGGAAAACGAUGUGAAGAUACGCAGACAACCAGGAUGUUGGCUCAGAAGCAGCCACUCAUUCAAAGAGUGCGUAAUAGCUCACUGGUCGAGCGUCUUUGCGCGGAGAAUUUAACGGGGCUAAACCUGACACCGAAGCUUAGGCAAUACACUUUGUGUAUUGGGUAGGGGAGCGUUGUAUACGCGGUGAAACAGUAGCGCAAGCGGCUGUGGAGUGUAUAGAAGUGAGAAUGCCGGAAUGAGUAGCGCGAAUGCAGUGAGAAUCUGCAUGGCCGAAAGCCUCAGGUUUCUGGAGGAAGGUUCGUCCGCUCCAGGUUAGUCGGGAGCUAAGGUGAGGCCUAACGGCGUAGCCGAUGCACAGACGGUAGAGAUUCCGUCACCACCAAAAGAGUUAAACACAGGGACACAUUUGAAGUCUCGGAGCCGGGUGUUGGUUCCGGUAGCGAUCGAGGGAAGUUAGUACCGAAGUCUGAGAUGGAAGAUGGCGAGAAAAGCUGUGUGUAUUUCUGCGGUGCCCGUACCGCAAACCGACACAGGUAGGUAGGAAGAAGAUUCUAAGGCCAACGGGAGAAGGGUUGUUAAGGAACUCGGCAAAUUGACCCCGUAACUUCGGGAGAAGGGGUGCUGCAGCGAUGCAGCCGCAGAGAAUCGGCCCAAGCAACUGUUUACCAAAAACACAGGUUUGUGCUAAAUCGAAAGAUGACGUAUACGAGCUGACGCCUGCCCGGUGCUGGAAGGUUAAGAGGAGAUGUGCAAGCAUUGAAUCGAAGCCCCAGUGAACGGCGGCCGUAACUAUAACGGUCCUAAGGUAGCGAAAUUCCUUGUCAGGUAAGUUCUGACCCGCAUGAAAGGCGUAAUGAUUUGGGCACUGUCUCAACAGCCCGCCCGGCGAAAUUGUAGUACCGGUGAAGAUGCCGGUUACCCGCGACAAGACGGAAAGACCCCAUGGAGCUUUACUGUAGCCUAAUAUUGGGUUUCGAUGUUGCAUGCACAGGAUAGAUGGGACUCUGGGAAACCGAUGCUUUGGCGUCGGCGGAGAGGCCGUUGGGAUACCAUCCUUGCGAUAUUGGAAUUCUAACCUGCGCCUUUGAAUCAAGGCGGGGGACAUUGUUAGGUGGGCAGUUUGACUGGGGCGGUCGCCUCCUAAAGAGUAACGGAGGCGUUCAAAGGUUCGCUCAGCUUGAACGGAAAUCAAGCAAAAGAGUGCAAACGCAGAAGCGAGCCUAACUGCGAGACUGACGGGUCGAGCAGUAACGAAAGUUGGAGUUAGUGAUCCGGUGGUAUGUGAGUGGAAAUGCCAUCGCUCAACGGAUAAAAGUUACCCUGGGGAUAACAGGCUGAUCUCCCCCAAGAGUCCACAUCGACGGGGAGGUUUGGCACCUCGAUGUCGGCUCAUCGCAUCCUGGGGCUGUAUUCGGUCCCAAGGGUUUGGCUGUUCGCCAAUUAAAGCGGUACGCGAGCUGGGUUCAGAACGUCGUGAGACAGUUCGGUCCCUAUCUGUCGUGGGCGCAGGAUAUUUGAUGGGAGCUGUUCCUAGUACGAGAGGACCGGAGCGGACGUACCUCUGGCGCACCAGUUGUUCUGCCAAGAGCAUAGCUGGGCAACUAUGUACGGAUCGGAUAAACGCUGAAAGCAUCUAAGCGUGAAGCCGACCCAAAGAUAAGAUAUCCCAUUGUUUCAAACAAGUAAGACCCCUUGAAGACUACAAGGUUGAUAGGCACGAUGUGUAAGUGGAG
RNAcentral lists this ribosomal RNA (2791 nucleotides) under Faecalibacterium prausnitzii. RNAcentral's name for it is "bacterial LSU rRNA". It matches the Rfam family "Bacterial large subunit ribosomal RNA". Lineage: Bacteria; Bacillati; Bacillota; Clostridia; Eubacteriales; Oscillospiraceae. The record is from RNAcentral.